Molecule: ribosomal RNA, 292 nt
Filed under: uncultured bacterium
Lineage: Bacteria
Description: partial 16S ribosomal RNA
Rfam family: Bacterial small subunit ribosomal RNA
Source: RNAcentral
GUGUCAGCCGCCGCGGUAAUACGGAGGGUGCAAGCGUUAAUCGGAAUUACUGGGCGUAAAGGGCGCGUAGGUGGUCGAGUCAGUCGGAUGUGAAAGCCCUGGGCUUAACCUGGGAAUUGCAUUCGAGACUGCUCGGCUAGAGUUUGGUAGAGGGAAGCGGAAUUCCGCAUGUAGCGGUGAAAUGCGUAGAGAUGCGGAGGAACACCAGUGGCGAAGGCGGCUUCCUGGACCAACACUGACACUGAGGCGCGAAAGCGUGGGGAUCAAACAGGAUUAGAAACCCCCGUAGUCC